RNAcentral lists this ribosomal RNA (253 nucleotides) under uncultured bacterium. Its description in RNAcentral is "partial 16S ribosomal RNA". It matches the Rfam family "Bacterial small subunit ribosomal RNA", at positions 524 to 776 of the family's 1533-position model. The record is from RNAcentral.
UACAGAGGAGCCAAGCGUUGUCCGGAUUGACUGGGCGUAAAGCGCACGUAGGCGGCUCAGCAAGUCAGGGGUGAAAUCCCGGGGCUCAACCCCGGAACUGCCCUUGAAACUGCUAAGCUAGAAUCUUGGAGAGGCGAGUGGAAUUCCGAGUGUAGAGGUGAAAUUCGUAGAUAUUCGGAAGAACACCAGUGGCGAAGGCGACUUCCUGGCCUGUUCUUGACGCUGAGGCGCGAAAGCUAGGGGAGCAAACGGG